CCCCGGGCUCCGUGCAACGGGCCGCCGCGAACCCCGCCAGGUCCGGAAGGAAGCAACGGUAGUGGCCCAGCCCGUGUGCCGCGGAUCACCCGGGACCU
This 98-nucleotide signal recognition particle RNA is filed under the name Rhodospirillales bacterium. Its description in RNAcentral is "signal recognition particle sRNA small type". It matches the Rfam family "Bacterial small signal recognition particle RNA". From Rfam's summary of the family: The signal recognition particle (SRP) is a universally conserved ribonucleoprotein involved in the co-translational targeting of proteins to membranes. Archaeal SRP consists of a 7S RNA and homologues of the eukaryotic SRP19 and SRP54 proteins. The record is from RNAcentral. Lineage: Bacteria; Pseudomonadati; Pseudomonadota; Alphaproteobacteria; Rhodospirillales.